Molecule: non-coding RNA, 87 nt
Organism: Ceratobasidium sp. 392
Lineage: Eukaryota; Fungi; Basidiomycota; Agaricomycetes; Cantharellales; Ceratobasidiaceae
Source: the annotation of a GenBank genome assembly
GCCGUGAUAGCUCAGCUGGGAGAGCGAUAGACUGAAGCUAACCUUCAGAUCAUCUACAGGUCGUUGGUUCAAAUCCGACUCAUGGCA